AGGACGAACGCUGGCGGCGUGCCUAACACAUGCAAGUCGAGCGGGGACUGCACGACGGAUUUGAAGAUUCGGUGGAUAUGAAGAUGUACAGUUCUAGCGGCGGACGGGUGAGUAACGCGUGAGCAACCUGUCCCUUACAGGGGGAUAACACAGCGAAAGUUGUACUAAUACCGCAUAAGACCACGGUAUCACAUGGUACAGGGGUCAAAGGAGCAAUCCGGUAAGGGGUGGGCUCGCGUCCGAUUAGAUAGUUGGUGAGGUAACGGCCCACCAAGUCGACGAUCGGUAGCCGACCUGAGAGGGUGAUCGGCCACAUUGGGACUGAGACACGGCCCAAACCCCUACGGGAGGCAGCAGUGGGGAAUAUUGGGCAAUGGGGGGAACCCUGACCCAGCAACGCCGCGUGAGGGAAGAAGGUUUUCGGAUUGUAAACCUCUGUCCUAUGUGAAGAGGAAGAGACGGUAGCAUAGGAGGAAGCCCCGGCUAACUACGUGCCAGCAGCCGC
This 505-nucleotide ribosomal RNA is filed under the name uncultured bacterium. RNAcentral describes it as "bacterial SSU rRNA". It matches the Rfam family "Bacterial small subunit ribosomal RNA", at positions 26 to 518 of the family's 1533-position model. The record is from RNAcentral.